UGUGUCUGUGAUGACAACUUGGCUCCCUCUACUGAAUCCAGUGAGGAAAUCGCCUUUGUUACCCAAUUGUUACUGAGACACA
Ictalurus punctatus (channel catfish) is the source of this 82-nucleotide small nucleolar RNA. Ensembl annotates it as Small nucleolar RNA SNORD100. Its record names the gene SNORD100. Lineage: Eukaryota; Metazoa; Chordata; Actinopteri; Siluriformes; Ictaluridae. The record is from Ensembl.